Molecule: ribosomal RNA, 528 nt
Filed under: uncultured bacterium
Lineage: Bacteria
Description: bacterial SSU rRNA
Rfam family: Bacterial small subunit ribosomal RNA
Source: RNAcentral
CCUACGGGAGGCAGCAGUGAGGAAUAUUGGACAAUGGGCGCAAGCCUGAUCCAGCCAUGCCGCGUGCAGGAAGAAGCAUCUAUGGUGUGUAAACUGCUUUUGUACAGGAAGAAACACUCCCUCGUGAGGGAGCUUGACGGUACUGUAAGAAUAAGGACCGGCUAACUCCGUGCCAGCAGCCGCGGUAAUACGGAGGGUCCGAGCGUUAUCCGGAAUCAUUGGGUUUAAAACGGGUCCGUAGGCGGUUUUAAUAAGUCAGUGGUGAAAUCUGGUCGCUCAACGAUCAAACGGCCAUUGAUACUGUUAGACUUGAAUUAUAAGGAAGUAACUAGAAUAUGUAGUGUAGCGGUGAAAUGCUUAGAUAUUACAUGGAAUACCAAUUGCGAAGGCAGGUUACUACUUAUGGAUUGACGCUGAUGGACGAAAGCGUGGGGAGCGAACAGGAUUAGAUACCCUGGUAGUCCACGCCGUAAACGAUGGAUACCUAGCUGUCGUAGNAUCUGAGUGNGUAGACGAAGUAGAUAAGUA